UCCCUGGUGGUCCAGUGGUUAGGACUCUGCAUUUCCACUGCAGAGGCCAUGGCUUCAAUUCCUGGUCAGGGAA
This is a non-coding RNA of Bubalus bubalis (water buffalo), 73 nucleotides long. The record is from the annotation of a RefSeq genome assembly. Lineage: Eukaryota; Metazoa; Chordata; Mammalia; Artiodactyla; Bovidae.